Cinara cedri is the source of this 242-nucleotide non-coding RNA. Lineage: Eukaryota; Metazoa; Arthropoda; Insecta; Hemiptera; Aphididae. The record is from the annotation of a GenBank genome assembly.
CAACAACAUAUUGUCUCCAGUCUUCUCUAUUUUGUGCCGUUUAUUCAGCAUUCCUUACUCCCAACCUCUUUAGGUCUUCUUUUAUUCUAUCUGACCAUCUCUGUCUAGGACGUCCUCUGGGNCGAUUAGUCCUUUUGAUCUCCAUACAUGUCCAGUCCAGCCUAUUCGUGCGCUUUUUAAGAUCCCUACAAUAUUGGUUUCGUUAUAUAAUUCUUCUAAAUUUUUAUUGCUACGUAUUUCAU